Non-coding RNA from Phasianus colchicus (ring-necked pheasant), 918 nucleotides. Lineage: Eukaryota; Metazoa; Chordata; Aves; Galliformes; Phasianidae. The record is from RefSeq and is a predicted model, not a curated record.
CUUCCCAGACAGAUGCAGUUCACCAAGUGGAGGCCUUUGGCACUGGGAUGGAGCAGCAGCACCUUUGUGCUGUUGGGCAGUGUUUUGGGUUCCCUGUGGGCGUUUGAAAAGAGAAGCCAAGGUGUGUGCUUGAGUGAUGAGACACUGCAGUGCAGGACAGUGCUUCACAGGUGAGGAUGGGGUUGGGGAUGAGGAAUGGGCAGCGCAGGCAUCCAGGGCCUCUUCUUGAGGGCAAGCCCCGUGUACUCAGGGCUAAGCCCUCAGCUGUCGUCCAGGACCAUCUCGAACAGGUGGCAGCUGGUGCUGCGGGGCUGCCGGCAUCAGAAACAGCUGGCUGCAGCCGGCCUCCGUCUGUCUCCCACUCAGUACGCGUGCACGUGUGUGUGUAUUACAUUACUACUUAAUAUUGAGUUGUUUGUUUGUUGUUCUCUCUUGAGGAUUGCGAAGAGCUCCUCUCCCCUCCAGAUUUCAGAUUUCCCUCCUCACACACACCUCCUUCCCCCGCCUCCCGACCAACCCCCGCUCCCCCGAGGGGAGGCGGGCAGGCGCCGUACCUGGCGCCCUCUGCCCGGGGAGGAGCGCGCCUCUCCGUCCCGACCCCGGCGGCACCGGCAGCGGCACCGCGAGCAGCAUUGUUCUGAAGUGGAGUUACGCCUCUUCCGCGCCUCGCCCUUCUAUGACAAGUGACAUAUUUUGGUACAGACCUUGUGGACAGACCCGUGAUGGUGAUCUGCAGGGCUUUGGUGUGAUAGCAAAGGUGGCAGCAGCUCUCUAAACACUGUGCUGUUGCUCUUCAUGGUGCUGGGAUCCCAGGAGGACUUUGGCUUAAGUUUUCUUUCUCCUCCCUUCCUUCCCGUCAAGGACACAGACUUUGGCUGUAUUUUUCAUAACUGUGUGAAGCAAGAAACCUAACGGAUG